GACGAACGCUGGCGGCGUGCUUAACACAUGCAAGUCGAACGGAAAGGCCCUGCUUUUGUGGGGUGCUCGAGUGGCGAACGGGUGAGUAACACGUGAGUAACCUGCCCUUGACUUUGGGAUAACUUCAGGAAACUGGGGCUAAUACCGGAUAGGAGCUCCUGCUGCAUGGUGGGGGUUGGAAAGUUUCUGCGGUUGGGGAUGGUCUCGCGGCUUAUCAGCUUGUUGGUGGGGUAGUGGCUUACCAAGGCUUUGACGGGUAGCCGGCCUGAGCGGGUGACCGGCCACAUUGGGACUGAGAUGCGGCCCAGACUCCUACGGGAGGCAGCAGUGGGGAAUAUUGCACAAUGGGCGGAAGCCUGAUGCAGCAACGCCGCGUGCGGGAUGACGGCCUUCGGGUUGUAAACCGCUUUCGCCUGUGACGAAGCGUGAGUGACGGUAAUGGGUAAAGAAGCACCGGCUAACUACGUG
This 468-nucleotide ribosomal RNA is filed under the name uncultured bacterium. Its description in RNAcentral is "partial 16S ribosomal RNA". It matches the Rfam family "Bacterial small subunit ribosomal RNA", at positions 28 to 507 of the family's 1533-position model. The record is from RNAcentral.